GGGCCUGUCGUCUAACGGAUUAGGACAUGAAUUUUCUAAAUUUACAAUGUAGGUUCGAUUCCUACCGGGCCUA
RNAcentral lists this transfer RNA (73 nucleotides) under Nitzschia dubiiformis. RNAcentral describes it as "tRNA-Arg". It matches the Rfam family "tRNA". Rfam says of the family: Transfer RNA (tRNA) molecules are approximately 80 nucleotides in length. Their secondary structure includes four short double-helical elements and three loops (D, anti-codon, and T loops). The record is from RNAcentral. Lineage: Eukaryota; Bacillariophyta; Bacillariophyceae; Bacillariales; Bacillariaceae.